This 74-nucleotide transfer RNA is filed under the name Cariama cristata (Red-legged seriema). RNAcentral describes it as "tRNA-Asn". The record is from RNAcentral. Lineage: Eukaryota; Metazoa; Chordata; Aves; Cariamiformes; Cariamidae.
UAGACAAAAGCCUGCUGGUUCGGGGCAUCUAGCUGUUAAUUAGAGUUUUGUGGGAUCGAGGCCCACUUGUCUAG